RNAcentral lists this ribosomal RNA (446 nucleotides) under uncultured bacterium. Its description in RNAcentral is "bacterial SSU rRNA". It matches the Rfam family "Bacterial small subunit ribosomal RNA", at positions 329 to 792 of the family's 1533-position model. The record is from RNAcentral.
UGCCAGACUCCUACGGGAGGCAGCAGUGGGGAAUAUUGCACAAUGGGGGAAACCCUGAUGCAGCAACGCCGCGUGAGUGAAGAAGUAUUUCGGUAUGUAAAGCUCUAUCAGCAGGGAAGAGAAUGACGGUACCUGACUAAGAAGCUCCGGCUAACUACGUGCCAGCAGCCGCGGUAAUACGUAGGGAGCAAGCGUUAUCCGGAUUUAUUGGGUGUAAAGGGUGCGUAGACGGGAAAUUAAGUUAGUUGUGAAAUCCCUCGGCUCAACUGAGGAACUGCAACUAAAACUGAUUUUCUUGAGUGCAGGAGAGGUAAGUGGAAUUCCUAGUGUAGCGGUGAAAUGCGUAGAUAUUAGGAGGAACACCAGUGGCGAAGGCGACUUACUGGACUGUAACUGACGUUGAGGCACGAAAGUGUGGGGAGCAAACAGGAUUAGAUACCCGCGUA